GAGACACCCUUCUGGGGCAAGACUUGCUUCAGUGAGGUUUUGGUGCUCACUGAGUCUGCCCCCUGAGUGUGUCCCU
RNAcentral lists this microRNA precursor (76 nucleotides) under Myotis lucifugus (little brown bat). RNAcentral describes it as "mir-9229 microRNA precursor family". It matches the Rfam family "mir-9229 microRNA precursor family". Lineage: Eukaryota; Metazoa; Chordata; Mammalia; Chiroptera; Vespertilionidae. The record is from Rfam by way of RNAcentral.